RNAcentral lists this ribosomal RNA (402 nucleotides) under Actinomycetes bacterium. RNAcentral describes it as "Actinobacteria bacterium partial 16S ribosomal RNA". It matches the Rfam family "Bacterial small subunit ribosomal RNA", at positions 355 to 776 of the family's 1533-position model. The record is from RNAcentral. Lineage: Bacteria; Bacillati; Actinomycetota; Actinomycetes.
UGGGGAAUUUUGCACAAUGGGGGCAACCCUGAUGCAGCGACGCCGCGUGAUUUAGAAGGCCUUCGGGUUGUAAAAAUCUUUUGUAUGGGAAGAAAAUGACAGUACCAUACGAAUAAGGACCGGCUAAUUACGUGCCAGCAGCCGCGGUAAUACGUAAGGUCCGAGCGUUGUCCGGAAUCAUUGGGCGUAAAGGGUACGUAGGCGGAUAAGCAAGUUAGAAGUGAAAUCCUAUAGCUCAACUAUAGUAAGCUUUUAAAACUGCUCAUCUUGAGGUAUGGAAGGGAAAGUGGAAUUCCGAGUGUAGCGGUGAAAUGCGCAGAUAUUAGGAGGAAUACCGGUGGCGAAGGCGGCUUUCUGGCCAUAAACUGACGCUGAGGUACGAAAGCGUGGGUAGCAAACAGG